RNAcentral lists this ribosomal RNA (480 nucleotides) under uncultured bacterium. RNAcentral describes it as "partial 16S ribosomal RNA". It matches the Rfam family "Bacterial small subunit ribosomal RNA", at positions 28 to 523 of the family's 1533-position model. The record is from RNAcentral.
GACGAACGCUGGCGGCGUGCCUAACACAUGCAAGUCGAGCGAGUGAAUCUCCUUCGGGAGUGAAGCUAGCGGCGGACGGGUGAGUAACACGUGGGCAACCUGCCUCAUAGAGGGGAAUAGCCUUUCGAAAGGAAGAUUAAUACCGCAUAAGAUUGUAGCUUCGCAUGAAGUAGCAAUUAAAGGAGCAAUCCGCUAUGAGAUGGGCCCGCGGCGCAUUGGCUAGUUGGUGAGGUAACGGCUCACCAAGGCGACGAUGCGUAGCCGACCUGAGAGGGUGAUCGGCCACAUUGGGACUGAGACACGGCCCAGACUCCUACGGGAGGCAGCAGUGGUGAAUAUUGCACAAUGGGGGAAACCCUGAUGCAGCAACGCCGCGUGAGUGAUGACGGCCUUCGGGUUGUAAAGCUCUGUCUUCAGGGACGAUAAUGACGGUACCUGAGGAGGAAGCCACGGCUAACUACGUGCCAGCAGCCGCAGUAA